This 253-nucleotide ribosomal RNA is filed under the name uncultured bacterium. RNAcentral describes it as "partial 16S ribosomal RNA". It matches the Rfam family "Bacterial small subunit ribosomal RNA", at positions 524 to 776 of the family's 1533-position model. The record is from RNAcentral.
AACGUAGGAGACAAACGUUAUCCGGAGUUACUGGGCGUAAAGGGCGUGUAGGUGGUUUCGUAAGUCUGGCGUGAAAUUUUUCGGCUUAACCGGGAAAGGUCGUCGGAUACUGCGGGACUAGAGGGCGGUAGAGGCGUGUGGAAUUCCGGGUGUAGUGGUGAAAUGCGUAGAGAUCCGGAGGAACACCAGUGGCGAAGGCGACACGCUGGGCCGUACCUGACACUGAUGCGCGACAGCAUGGGGAGCAAACAGG